GGGGAUGAGGGCAUGACAGCUACUCUUGUUUUCUCUCUCUUUGCUUGGAUUGUUGUUGUUCAUUAUUGUUGUUGAUUUUUUCUGCUUCGUAUUCUUCAUUAUCUUUUUCUUAUUAUUCAUUAUCAUCUCUUCUUGUUCAUCAUCAUCUUCUUAUUAUUCAUUGGUCGUACCAUUGUUAUUGUUGCCGCUACUACUGCUACUGGAC
Molecule: long non-coding RNA, 205 nt
Filed under: Capsicum annuum
Lineage: Eukaryota; Viridiplantae; Streptophyta; Magnoliopsida; Solanales; Solanaceae
Description: long non-coding RNA (CANN_LNC013780)
Source: RNAcentral